GCAAACUCCGCCGAUCGGUCCCUGAAAUAUUUAUUUUACUGGAAAAUAGCGUUGGGCACACGGACUUUGAUGAAUUUACUGUUUAUCAGACCCCAGAUAAGACAAAAAGCUAACGAACGCUGCGUUCCCUUUGCCUCUGACACCAUGCUGGUCCCUGUAGGAGACGCUAGAUUAGAAAGAAAAAAAGAGACUCUGUAUUCCUCCGACAUGCUGUAUUAACGUUACUGUUUAAAAUGCUUUCCAGGUUAGUGGCAAUGCAUACCGUUCAAAACCAACAU
Molecule: long non-coding RNA, 278 nt
Organism: Etheostoma spectabile (orangethroat darter)
Lineage: Eukaryota; Metazoa; Chordata; Actinopteri; Perciformes; Percidae
Exons: 3
Source: RefSeq, a predicted model, not a curated record